UUCAUCCAAACUAAACGUGAACUCCCCAUUCUUCUUCACCCCUUUUCAAUCAAAAACCCCAACUAGCCGUCACCAUCCACCCUAGCCCCGUCACGUCGCCUCACCGCCACCACACCCGUCGGACCACCGUAUAAAGAACAGACACCAUCUCCCAUCAACCCCAGUCCCUUUUCUUCAAGUGACAAAGCUUUGAACAGCUCGUCCAAGUCGAAUCAACCCCCAAAUCGAAAAACACGCAAGGAUCUUUGGGUUUCUAGGCAGAUAUUCCAACAAUCCAUAGGGUAAAGGCUCGUUCCAAUCCGUUGGGGCCUAAAACCAUGGAAAAAACCAUUAGAUUCGGACCUCUAGCUUUCACUUCACCUCUGAAAAAGUUCUCGGCUGAGCAAGGACUGCUUUAAGCGGAUUCGGAGACUCGAUGACGACAUUAGCCUCAGUUCGCUGUUCCGGAGAAGGUCAGUAAUCACAUUCGUCUUCUCUUCGUCUUUAAAUCUGUAGAAGUCGAAAUAUAGUCGUUUUGUUGUUCUUAGCAUUCUUUGGAGUUCGAUGGUUUGAAUCUGCCUACACUUCAGUUUCUAUAAACAAGCAUGAAAUAUGUGUGGCAAUCUAUUAACGUUUAAAGAAAAUGAUCGUUUAGCUUGGUGAAUACACGAAUAGUAGUGUCGCUUGUCUAAAAAUCUGUUUGAGGGAUCCUUUAGGGGACUAUUUUAUCAUGUAAAAUCAAGUAUGUAAAAUGGCUAAAAUAAAUCAUAACCUCAAAACAAAUGUCCUGAUUUGUUGGUAGUUAAUACUAGUCUAUACAUAUAGGUUCGAAUAAUCAUUUUGUUUCUGUUAGUUUGAAUCUGUCUACAUCCCGUAAUCUUUUUUUUUUUUUUUUUUACCAUUAAGGCUGCAGCUAUAGAUGGCUUGAAUCGUGUUUUAUCCUUCGUUCAUGUCUUCAAAACCAGUUCUAGUAUGGAUCAAUAUUAAGAUGUUUGUGUCAAAUAGCUGUUUUCUACUUUCAUUUGGAUAUGAGCAUGAAACAUUAUUUGUUUAAGGGCAUUGAAAGGUUAGCGUUUUCCCUGUUUUAGUUAGCUUAAAUAAAAUGGUUGAUAACAUAGCUACUGCUAAUAAGAUUUCCUAAAGCCCUACUAUAAAUUCCAUUUAGACCUUAUGACUGAAAAAUAUCAUGCCUUGGCUAAAGAUUGAGUUAAGUAGAGGUUAAGCAAACAAUUGAUUUAUUGGCUUUCUAUUUUGUUUAAACCUUGUUAGGUCAGUAUUUUUUUUUGUGUGAACGUGAAUAGGCGUAGGCUCAAAGCUGAAUCUUUCAUUCAAAACUUAGUCCCCAUGGUCAUUUAGUUUAGAAUUGUUGGUGGUUUAGUUAGCCAAAUCCUUAAAAUAGUUUACUUCCUACCUUGAAAAAUGUUUUCAUCUUUUAUUUUCAAUCUCUUUUUCCUUUAAGAAAACAGGAGAAUGAAUUUGCGUGGGCUAAGUUGUUUUCCUUGGGAUUUUUGAUCAAAAUUAGGUGUUGCGUUCCUUGUUUAAAGUUUUAAUCUUUUUCUUUAGAAAACACAGGUUGUGCUUUAACUAAUAAGUGGAAACUUAGUUUUAACAGUUGGUAUGAGCUUGGAGGGGUGGCUCUGAGAUUAGUGUUUUACUUCUAUUUUGAGGAUUGAACCUUGUUUGUUUCCUCUUUAACUAAUAGGAAAAUUAUAAUUUAAACAAGUAAAGUCUCUUCUUUUCCUUGAAUCAACUGCUUUGUCCUUCCCUUUUUAUUUAUUUUUAUUUUUUUAUUUUACUGACUGCUUCUCUUCACUAGGAUUCUGCACUUAAAAGCCUGGUUAUAUAAUUGAUAAUAUUACCAAUUGAUAAUGCUUGGAAUUGGUGCAGGAUAUGAACCAUUUACAUGUAUAAGUCCAGACCGUGUUGUGUCCCAAUAUAAAUGCUUGAAAGAUCUCUCUCGUGUUUGCCGUGUUCUGUUUCUAAGAUAUGAAUUCAUUUAUCACCUUAGCUAAAACUAGAGUGUAAUGACUUCAAGGAUAGAGUCACGAGCUUGAAUGCGAAAAUUCAUUAAGCUACUUAGUGUUAACAAACUCGAUGGAUUGGUCUUAUUUAAAGUUGUUCAAUCCCGUUUAUAUCUGUUAUUUUCCUGAUACUUGAUCACUUGAUUUAAUGAACCCUUAUUAGUGUUUACUGCAAAAGGCGAAUCAUGUUUCUAAUAUAGUCAUAUUGAUGGAUUUAAUGUAGUGUACUAUGGGAUUGUUCUGAUUUUUUAUAAUUGACGAUCUAGAUCUGUUUGCUGGCUUGAUAACCAUUAAUAAAAAUAUGUGAAGUACUAUUUCACCAGUAGACUAAUGAGAAGUUAAAAUAGUUGAAGAAUAUCCGGUCGGAACUAGUAGUUGUUCGAUCUUGCUGUUCGAAUAUACUUAUGUUCAAAUGAAGUAGGUCUGAAUAGAGUUAUAAAAUUCACACAUAUGUCUCGUAUUCAUCUUUGAUCAUGUAUGCUCUAGAGAUAAUUCUUGCUGUAAUGAUUGGUUUAUGAUGCAAUAGUAGUUGUGAUUCCUUCCAGAUUAUAUGACGUUCAGUUAAGUUUUUGUUGUUACUAAUCAUCGAGAUUUGUACCUAAUCCUUUUCUUUUCUUUCUUUUUACAUGAACACCAUGGGAGUUUGUUGGAGUUGUGGCUCAACUCUAAUUCUGCCCAGGUCAUAGGAGCAAUCAGCAGCAGAUUUAUUUGCUCGUGUCUAGCCGUCCCCUACUUUCGCGUCAAAAGAAUCCACGUCCCUCUUCCUCUCUUAAAAUUUUAUAUCUUUUUUAUUACUAUAUGUUAUUCUCACCCUUUGACUAACAUCUUUUAUGGGUUUGUAUUUGUAGUAUUUUGUUUCUGGCUUGUUUGUGAACUCGUGAAUGGCCGAGCCUUGACAUUGGCCACUUUUCCUUAGAUAUAAAUCUUGGUUUAAGGAUAGCUUAGGAUAAAGAAGUGACAAAUGUCCCUUUAACUUUGCGUAUUUCACAGGUUGUAAACAUUUUCUAACUAAUAGAUAAGGCUGAUUUUUUCUUUUCUUUAAAA
Lycium barbarum (goji berry) is the source of this 3044-nucleotide long non-coding RNA. RefSeq lists it as uncharacterized. The record is from RefSeq and is a predicted model, not a curated record. The transcript is spliced from 2 exons. NCBI's taxonomy places the organism in Eukaryota, Viridiplantae, Streptophyta, Magnoliopsida, Solanales, Solanaceae.